Cebus imitator (Panamanian white-faced capuchin) is the source of this 1520-nucleotide RNA transcript. It is a transcript of the gene named probable ribosome biogenesis protein RLP24, with no coding region annotated. The transcript has a single exon. NCBI's taxonomy places the organism in Eukaryota, Metazoa, Chordata, Mammalia, Primates, Cebidae. The record is from RefSeq and is a predicted model, not a curated record.
GAAAUUUGAUAAACAGAAUUGUUCAUUUAAAAACUAACUGGAAAGAUUGCAAGUUUUUCCUGAACUAUCCAGAAAUUAUGCAUCAUUUUCCUUCAAGAAUGACAAGGUCAGAAUGUGGAAUUCCAAGAUACCUCUUGCCUUCCUCUCUAGCUCCACGUUUGGUCAGUGGAGGCCCAUGUGAGCUCAGCACGCGUACUGAGAAGCGUCAGUGUCUCUUGGGGCCGGUCUACCCUGGCCACAUCACGGUGUUCAUCUGCAGCUAUUGCAAGGUGUUCAGACUGUGUGAAUCCAAAUGUCAUAAAAACUUUAAAAAGAAGUGCAAUUCUUGAAAGGUUAGGUGGACUAAAGCAUUCUGUAAAGCAACUGGUAAUAAUGAGCUUACAGUGGAUAAUUCAUUUGAAUUUGAAAAAUAUAGAAAUGAACCUGUCAAAUACUAGCAAGAACUAUGGAAUAAAACUACUGACGCAAUGAAGACAGCUGAAAAGAUCAAACAAAUGCCAAACUCAAUUUAUAAUGAACAAAUUGAAGAAAAAUAAAGGACUACAGAAAGUUCCGGACAUCAAAGAAGUCAGGCAAAACUCGUCUUAUCUUGACCCCUCUUGCAGGCAGAGGAAAGCAGCUGGACGCAAAGAUGAUUCAACAGUUACAACAGGACGCAGACAUGGAAGAGGUUUCCUGAGAAUCUCAUCUAUAACCACUAAUACAUGUACAUUUGAAAAUCUCUUUUGGAGACUUAAAACCUCUAAAUUAUUGAUUUAUUUUUUAUGUAAGGUCACUCAAAUGAAAGGUGAUUAAAAAAAUCACAUACAUUGCUGUCUACAAAACAUCAGAUAAUAUGGAUGUUAGAUUGCAUCUCAUUGUUAACUCUUCACUGAUAUUUUUAUGUAAAUCAUGAAAAUUCUGUUUGUAAAUGCAGAUGUGAAAUGUGGACAUAAAAUGGUUAUGCCAUUUGGUUAGCGAUACUAGGCAACAUUUAUGUAAUAACUAAUGACAAAAUUCAAAAAUUUAUGGCUAGUGAUAGACAUAAAAUUUUCUUUGCAGUAAAAUAUGCCCUUUAUUGUUAUAGAAGGGAGGAUAUAAGGAACCAACAGUUUGUAUGAAAAUAGCUCAGAUAAUAUAUUUUCAGUUUAAUAUUUCUCGUUUUGGUUUAUUAGCAUCUUAGAACAAAACGGCCUUAUGUAAUGAAGACUGGUUAUGCUGGACUGUUUUGACCUGGUUUUACUGUUCUGACAGAUAGCUGGGAAGGAGAGCUGAAAAACCUUCGCCUGAAAUGAUGCUAUAUAAUUUCUACUUUGGCAAAUACUCAGUUCUAACUUGUGAUUCCUGGUAGAACAAGCUUUAUUUUUCAAGCCAGCAAUGAUCUAGAAGCAGAUGUAUCUCAGUGCCUUUUAAAAUUUGUUGUGUGGUUUUUUUUAAAAAAGCCAAACAAUAAUUUUGGAAAACAACGUAUGGGUAGAACAUCUGUCUAGUAUUUGUAGAAAACCACUUUUAAUGGGUACAAAGUUAAAUUAGGAGGAAUA